This 1310-nucleotide ribosomal RNA is filed under the name metagenome. RNAcentral's name for it is "bacterial LSU rRNA". It matches the Rfam family "Bacterial large subunit ribosomal RNA", at positions 1604 to 2925 of the family's 2925-position model. The record is from RNAcentral.
GCUUCCAAGAAAAGCCCUAUACCCGUUAAGGCAUGAUGGCCUGUACCCGAAACCGACACAGGUGGGGUGGUAGAGAAUACCGAGGGGCGCGAGGUAACUCUCUCUAAGGAACUCGGCAAAAUGGCCCCGUAACUUCGGGAGAAGGGGUGCCACCGCGAGGUGGUCGCAGUGAAGAGGCCCAGGCGACUGUUUACCAAAAACACAGGUCUCCGCUAAGUCGCAAGACGAUGUAUGGGGGCUGACGCCUGCCCAGUGCCGGAAGGUUAAGGAAGCUGGUCAGCGCAAGCGAAGCUGGCGACUGAAGCCCCGGUGAACGGCGGCCGUAACAAUAACGGUCCUAAGGUAGCGAAAUUCCUUGUCGGGUAAGUUCCGACCCGCACGAAAGGCGUAACGAUCUGGGCGCUGUCUCGGAGAGAGGCUCGGCGAAAUAGAAUUGUCUGUGAAGAUGCGGACUACGUGCACCCGGACAGAAAGACCCUAUGAAGCUUUACUGUAGCUUGGUAUUGUGCUCGGGCUCGGAAUGCGCAGGAUAGGUGGGAGGCUUUGUUCCAUUGCUUGCGGGUGAUGGUGAGCCACUGGUGAGAUACCACUCUUUCCGAGCUAGAGUUCUAACAGCAACCCGUUAUCCGGGUGCUGGACAGUAUCAGGUGGGCAGUUUGACUGGGGCGGUCGCCCCCUAAAAGGUAACGGAGGCGCGCAAAGGUCUGCUCAGGCUGGUUGGAAAUCAGCCGACGAGUGUAAAAGCAGAAGCAGGCUUGACUGUGAGACCUACAAGUCGAACAGGGAGGAAACUCGGCUUUAGUGAUCCGACGGCUCUGCGUGGAAGGGCCGUCGCUCAACGGAUAAAAGUUACUCUAGGGAUAACAGGCUGAUCUCCCCCAAGAGUUCACAUCGACGGGGAGGUUUGGCACCUCGAUGUCGGCUCAUCGCAACCUGGGGCUGAAGUCGGUCCCAAGGGUUGGGCUGUUCGCCCAUUAAAGCGGUACGCGAGCUGGGUUCAGAACGUCGUGAGACAGUUCGGUCCAUAUCCGGUGCACGCGCAGGAAUAUUGAGAGGAUUUCUCCCUAGUACGAGAGGACCGGGAGGAACGCACCUCUGGUGUGCCAGUUGUCGUGCCAACGGUAAACGCUGGGUAGCCAUGUGCGGAGUGGAUAACCGCUGAAAGCAUCUAAGUGGGAAGCCCACCUCAAGAUGAGUAUUCCCACGGCAUAAGCCAGUAAGGUCACGGGAAGAACACCCGUUGAUAGGCUCUACGUGGAAGCGCAGUAAUGUGUGAAGCGGAGGAGUACUAAUAGACCGAGGGCUUGACC